UGAAAGCAAAGAAGCAUGGAUAUACUUUUUUUCCCUUAAUUAAUGAUAUGCAAGGAGUUACGAUUUCAAUGAAAAUCACAGUUAAUUUACAAACAUCAAACUUAUUUAUGAGGAUGAAAAACUCGGUACAUAUUUUAAUAAACAGCCACAUUAUUCUUUCAAGCUAGGCUGAAUACAAUACACAAACAAAGCCUCUUAAACAUUACUGACACCAAACAUUACUAGGCUGAAUACAAUACACAAACAAAGCCUCUUAAACAUUACUGACACCAAACAUUACUAGGCUGAAUACAAUCAGACAUUACAUAAACUCAUCUUUAGCUGCUGGAACGAAGACAAGAUGAUCUGUUGGGAAGUAGUG
RNAcentral lists this long non-coding RNA (361 nucleotides) under Citrus x clementina. RNAcentral's name for it is "Citrus clementina (C. clementina) long non-coding RNA (CCLE_LNC000801)". Lineage: Eukaryota; Viridiplantae; Streptophyta; Magnoliopsida; Sapindales; Rutaceae. The record is from RNAcentral.